Non-coding RNA from Pelobates cultripes (western spadefoot toad), 247 nucleotides. NCBI's taxonomy places the organism in Eukaryota, Metazoa, Chordata, Amphibia, Anura, Pelobatidae. The record is from the annotation of a GenBank genome assembly.
GCUAAUGUUUUUAUAAAUGUAUGGUUUAAUGUAACUGUGCAACAACGUUGCAAUUAAAUGUGCUAAAUAAAUGAUAACAGUUACUCCGCCCACUCCAGUUAUAGACUACUGGUGGAGGCAAGAACACUUCACACAAUUUCCCCAGAAAUUGUAGCUUUUCUAGUUUGUAUUGUUGUUUUCCUAGAGCAGUGCUCCUCAACCCUCUCCUCAAGACACACCUAACAGUCAAGGAUUUAGUGAUUACCAG